Molecule: transfer RNA, 70 nt
Filed under: Plethodon wehrlei (Wehrle's salamander)
Lineage: Eukaryota; Metazoa; Chordata; Amphibia; Caudata; Plethodontidae
Description: tRNA-His
Rfam family: tRNA
About the family: Transfer RNA (tRNA) molecules are approximately 80 nucleotides in length.
Source: RNAcentral
GUAUACAUAAUUUAGUCAAAAUGUUAGGCUGUGAUCCUAGAAACGAAAGUUCAACACUUUCUGUAAACCG